Molecule: ribosomal RNA, 170 nt
Filed under: Helianthus annuus (common sunflower)
Lineage: Eukaryota; Viridiplantae; Streptophyta; Magnoliopsida; Asterales; Asteraceae
Source: RNAcentral
GGUUGCGAUCAUACCAGCACUAAUGCACCGGAUCCCAUCAGAACUCCGCAGUUAAGCGUGCUUGGGCGAGAGUAGUACUAGGAUGGGUGACCCCCUCCGCAGUUAAGCGUGCUUGGGCGAGAGUAGUACUAGGAUGGGUGACCCCCUGGGAAGUCCUCGUGUUGCAACCC